GAAGCAUCAAAGAAGUCACUGAUGGAAGAGUAUAUGCCCAGAACUCUGUCGUCCAACCUCAUGGCAUGUCUCCACAAUAUCUGUUCAGGAGUAACUCUACACAUCUAGAGAAGUGUGGGACAGAAGCAGAGAAGGACCGCUCUCAAGUUAAACAGCAACAUGGCCAGUGCAUGGUUGCCAAGUCGUCCGCUAGUAUGAGUUUUGAGAUGAACACUAACCCAUAUUACCAUACACAGGCAAGGGUAGCACAGUUGGGAGGUCAAAUCGCCAUGGAUGCAAAAUUACUACAGGCACAAACACAGUUUGGUGCAGUCGGUGCUGCAGCUGUCGCUGUUGCUGCUCACAGAGAGGUCGGCACCGUUCAGUAUGGUCUAUAACCUAGUCGAUACUAUUGUUUGAUGGUUCUUUGAAUCAAGUGAGGACAUCCACCUUGCAGUGAGACAGUUCACGAUAUGCAUUUUCCCUCAAAUCAAUCAGCAUGGGAGAUUUGAAGAGGGAUCUGUUAACCCGGUUAAUGAUUUUACCAUUUAUUAGUUGUCAGGGUCUCUAAAUAGGUAUUCUUUAGGUUCAGGUUGCCCUGUUGAGUUAGUAUUUAU
Molecule: unclassified non-coding RNA, 596 nt
Filed under: Hevea brasiliensis (rubber tree)
Lineage: Eukaryota; Viridiplantae; Streptophyta; Magnoliopsida; Malpighiales; Euphorbiaceae
Source: RNAcentral